AUUGAACGCUAGCGGGAUGCUUUACACAUGCAAGUCGAACGAGUGGAGGACGGGUGAGUAAUAUAUCGGAACGUGCCCAGUAGCUGGGGAUAACUAAUCGAAAGAGUGGCUAAUACCGCAUAUCAUUGGAGCGGCCGAUAUGGGAUUAGCUAGUUGGUGGGUGAAAGGCUAACCAAGGAAACGAGCAGUAGCUGGUUUGAGAGGACGACCAGCCACACUGGGACGGAGACACGGCCCAGACUCCUACGGGAGGCAGCAGUGGGGAAUUUUGGACAAUGGGGGAAACCCUGAUCCAGCCAUCCCGCGUGUAUGAGAAGGCCUUCGGGUUGUAAAGUACUUUUGGCAGAGAAGCGGUAUCUGCAGAAUAAGCACCGGCUAACUACGUGCCAGCAGCCGCGGUAAUAC
This 405-nucleotide ribosomal RNA is filed under the name uncultured bacterium. RNAcentral describes it as "partial 16S ribosomal RNA". It matches the Rfam family "Bacterial small subunit ribosomal RNA", at positions 30 to 526 of the family's 1533-position model. The record is from RNAcentral.